GCCAUUGGAUGAUGCGGCGGAUG
This 23-nucleotide non-coding RNA is filed under the name Arabidopsis thaliana (thale cress). The record is from RNAcentral. Lineage: Eukaryota; Viridiplantae; Streptophyta; Magnoliopsida; Brassicales; Brassicaceae.